GAUAGCCAUGCAUGUCUCAGUACAAGCCACAAAAUAAGGUGAAACCGCGAAAGGCUCAUUAAAUCAGUUAUGGUUCCUUGGGUCGUACUAUUUAUACUUGGAUAACUGUGGUAAUUCUAGAGCUAAUACAUGCAAACAGAGUUCCAACCGGAGACGGGAGGAACGCUUUUAUUAGAACAAAACCAAUCGGUGUCGUAGCUCACGCUCGUCAUCGUACAACUUGGUGAAGCUGAAUAACUUAUUGCUGAUCGCACGGUCUCGCACCGGCGACGCAUCUUUCAAAUGUCUGACUUAUCAACUGUCGAUGGUAGGCUCUGCGCCUACCAUGGUUAUUACGGGUAACGGGGAAUCAGGGUUCGAUUCCGGAGAGGGAGCCUGAGAAACGGCUACCACAUCCAAGGAAGGCAGCAGGCGCGCAAAUUACCCACUCCCGGCACGGGGAGGUAGUGACGAAAAAUAACGAUACGGGACUCAUCCGAGGCCCCGUAAUCGGAAUGAGUACACUCUAAAUUCUUUAACGAGGAUCAAUUGGAGGGCAAGUCUAGUGCCAGCAGCCGCGGUAAUUCUAGCUCCAAUAGCGUAUAUUAAAGUUGUUGCGGUUAAAAAGCUCGUAGUCGAAUCUGUGUCCCGCGCCGCCGGUUCAUCGCUCGCGGUGUCCAACUGGCGUGUCGCGGGACGUCCUGCCGGUGAGCUUAGCCCGCGAGGGCGGCUCAACUUGAAAUCCCAUCGCGGUGCUCUUCACUGAGUGUCGAGGUGGGCCGGCACGUUUACUUUGAACAAAUUAGAGUGCUUAAAGCAGGCUAAAACUUCGCCUGAAUAUUCUGUGCAUGGAAUAAUGGAAUAGGACCUCGGUUCUAUUUUGUUGGUUUUCGGAACCCCCGAGGUAAUGAUUAAAUAGGAAACGGAUGGGGGGCAUUCGUAUUGCGACGUUAGAGGUGAAAUUUCUUGGAUCGUCGCAAGACGGACAGAAGCGAAAGCAUUUGCCAAAAACGCUUUUCAUUGAUCACGAACCGAAAGUUAGAGGUU
Molecule: ribosomal RNA, 1026 nt
Filed under: Staphylinidae sp. 01 JHY-2013
Lineage: Eukaryota; Metazoa; Arthropoda; Insecta; Coleoptera; Staphylinidae
Description: SSU rRNA
Rfam family: Eukaryotic small subunit ribosomal RNA
Source: RNAcentral